AAUAAAGGGAACGGUGAGAAACUCGCAUCUCUCAGGGGUGACCCACACCCCGGGCAGAUCCGAAGCGGGUGUUGGGGUCCCGGGUGGGUUUCCAGCGCUUGUUCCAAACUGCGGCUGAAGCUUUUUGCAGCCGAACGCAAAUUUCCAGGCUUAAAUUGCCUCCUUCCUGUCCCGGGAUGCCAGGGCUUUGCUCAGCUGAAAUUGCACAGCUUUUUCCCCCCCGGAUCCUCUUACUUCUUCUCCCGCUCCCAGCCCCGCUGCCCCGGGCACCCCCUCGGCUGCUUUUUCUCAGCCGCCGCAGCCCCUUCCCGGCGGCGCUUUGAGCCCCGCACUCCCCUCGCCGUCGUUGCGGGAUUUCACCGCAAAUCCCGGUUCGUGCACUCCUCGCUCGCCCCCGGCAGAGCCCGAGGUACGAUUCAUCCUUCCUCCCCCCGUUACCGUUCGUUGGACGGUGACUCCGUGCCCCCGCAAGCUCGGUGCCCCGGGCCUGGCUGCGGGGGGACGGUGCGGGAAGCGUUCCGUGGGGCGGAGAGACGAGGGGAGAUUUCCACGGGAGACGGAGCUGCCGGUGGACUUCCCCAGGAGCCAGACCCCAGUGCGGGGCUGCGCCGAGCGCACCGGGCUCUGGGACAUCCCGUCCUGGGAGACGCCGGGUCCGUUCCCUCCGCCUCCCGGGCCCCGGCUGCGGGGGCGAGGAGUGCGGGUGGCCCCGCACGGGCACCGGGAGAAGCGGGAGGGGGUUCCUACCGCGGGGACCCCUGCCGGGACACCGGGAAGAGGCCCGAGUUGCCCCGGACGGUUGCCCUGCAGCUCCUACCAGACCCCGCCGUCGGGUCGGUCCCCGCCGUCCGGCCGUUCCUCCGUGCGGUUCGGCUCCGGGCGCCAUUUGUGCCCCGAUCCCGGAGCCCCGCCGCUCCCCGCAACGCCCGCACCUCCCGACCCCGGUGCGGGGGGUGUCCGCAGGUGGGUGCCGGCUCCCCCGCCGCGCCAGGCCCCUCACCAGCAGAUGGUGCUGCCGGCGGCCCGUCACCGGGGCUGCGGGGCCCCGACGGACCGCACCGGGCCGGGCAGCGGCACCGGGGCCCUGCCUGCCGCCUGGCCUGGGCCAAGGGGAAACCGGGGCUGCCGGGGGGGUGGCGGAGGGCCCAGGUAGGGAGCGUUACGUGUUCUGGAGCUCGCCGGCUGCUGGUGUGCGGGCUGCUGGUGUGGGGGCCCGGGGCUUGCCCGGGAACAGGCUGCUGUCGGGGCCAGGGGGGAAGCGGCCGCUUCAGGUGGACUCUCCUU
RNAcentral lists this long non-coding RNA (1284 nucleotides) under Calidris pugnax (ruff). RNAcentral describes it as "lncRNA (ENSCPUG00000009467.1)". Lineage: Eukaryota; Metazoa; Chordata; Aves; Charadriiformes; Scolopacidae. The record is from RNAcentral.